This 253-nucleotide ribosomal RNA is filed under the name uncultured bacterium. Its description in RNAcentral is "partial 16S ribosomal RNA". It matches the Rfam family "Bacterial small subunit ribosomal RNA", at positions 524 to 776 of the family's 1533-position model. The record is from RNAcentral.
UACGUAGGGUGCAAGCGUUAAUCGGAAUUACUGGGCGUAAAGCGUGCGCAGGCGGUUUUGUAAGUCUGUCGUGAAAUCCCCGGGCUCAACCUGGGAAUUGCGAUGGAGACUGCAAGGCUUGAAUCUGGCAGAGGGGGGUAGAAUUCCACGUGUAGCAGUGAAAUGCGUAGAGAUGUGGAGGAACACCGAUGGCGAAGGCAGCCCCCUGGGUCGAGAUUGACGCUCAUGCACGAAAGCGUGGGGAGCAAACAGG